GACGAACGCUGGCGGCGUGCUUAACACAUGCAAGUCGAACGGUAAAGCGCCUUCCUUUUUGGUGGGUGUGGAUGAGUGGCGAACUGGUGAGUAACACGUGCGUAACCUGCCCCCUUCUUCUGGAUAACCGCAUGAAAGUGUGGCUAAUACAGGAUCUUCUGGUUCUGUCGCAUGGUGGGUCUGGGAAAGCUGUUGUUUCGGUGGGGGAUGGGCUCGCGGCGUAUCAGCUUGUUGGUGGGGUGAUGGCCUACGAAGGCGGUGGGGGGUAGACGGCUUGGGAGGGUGGACGGUCUGACAGGGUCUGAGACACGGCUCGGACUGCGACGCGAGGCAGCAGUGGGGAAGAGUGAACAGUGGGCGCAAGUGUGAUGCAGGGAGGCCGCGGGUGGGAUGGAGGCGUGCGGGGGGUGAAGCUCUUUCGCCAGUGAAGCAGGCCUGCCUGGUUUGUGGGUGGGUUGACGGUAGCUGGAAAAGAAGCGCCGGCUAACUACGUG
This 494-nucleotide ribosomal RNA is filed under the name uncultured bacterium. RNAcentral's name for it is "partial 16S ribosomal RNA". It matches the Rfam family "Bacterial small subunit ribosomal RNA", at positions 28 to 507 of the family's 1533-position model. The record is from RNAcentral.